This 253-nucleotide ribosomal RNA is filed under the name uncultured bacterium. RNAcentral's name for it is "partial 16S ribosomal RNA". It matches the Rfam family "Bacterial small subunit ribosomal RNA", at positions 524 to 776 of the family's 1533-position model. The record is from RNAcentral.
UACGUAGGUGGCAAGCGUUGUCCGGAUUUACUGGGCGUAAAGAGCGCGCAGGCGGUCGUUCAAGUCGCGUGUGAAAGCCCCCGGCUCAACUGGGGAGGGUCACGCGAUACUGAUCGACUCGAAGGCAGGAGAGGGAAGUGGAAUUCCCGGUGUAGUGGUGAAAUGCGUAGAUAUCGGGAGGAACACCAGUGGCGAAGGCAGCUCUCUGGGACGGUACUGACGCUGAGACGCGAAAGCGUGGGGAGCGAACAGG